UUUCCGGUUGAUCCUGCCGGACCCGACUGCUAUCGGAGUGGGACUAAGCCAUGCGAGUCCUGCGUCCCCGGCUGCGGGGGCGCGGCGCACGGCUCAGUAACACGUAGUCAACCUGCCCUGGAGACGCGGACAAUCCCGGGAAACUGGGGCUAAUCCGCGAUAGGCCUGGGGUGCUGGAAGGCCCCUAGGCCCAAAGGGGCAGGCGGGCAUGCUCCGUCUGUCCGCUCCAGGAUGGGACUGCGGCCGAUCAGGUUGUUGGUGGGGUAAUGGCCCACCAAGCCUAUAACCGGUACGGGCUCUGAGAGGAGGAGCCCGGAGAUGGGCACUGAGACAAGGGCCCAGGCCCUACGGGGCGCAGCAGGCGCGAAACCUCCACAAUGCGCGAAAGCGCGAUGGGGUCACUCCGAGUGCCGCCCGCUGAGGGCGGCUUUUCCCGGGCCUAAAAAGCCCGGGGAAUAAGGGGAGGGCAAGCCUGGUGUCAGCCGCCGCGGUAAUACCAGCUCCCCGAGUGGUCGGGACGAUUAUUGGGCCUAAAGCAUCCGUAGCCGGCCCGGUAGGUCUCCUGUUAAAUCCAACGGCUCAACCGUUGGGCCGCAGGAGAUACCGCCGGGCUAGGGGGCGGGAGAGGCGGACGGUAUUCCGCGGGUAGGGGUAAAAUCCUCUGAUCCGCGGAGGACCACCAGUGGCGAAGGCGGUCCGCCAGAACGCGCCCGACGGUGAGGGAUGAAAGCUGGGGGAGCGAACCGGAUUAGAUACCCGGGUAGUCCCAGCUGUAAACGAUGCGGGCUAGGUGCUGGAAGGGCUACGGGCCUUUCCAGUGCCGCAGGGAAGCCGUUAAGCCCGCCGCCUGGGGAGUACGGCCGCAAGGCUGAAACUUAAAGGAAUUGGCGGGGGAGCACCACAAGGGGUGAAGCCUGCGGUUCAAUUGGAGUCAACGCCGG
This 941-nucleotide ribosomal RNA is filed under the name uncultured archaeon. Its description in RNAcentral is "bacterial SSU rRNA". It matches the Rfam family "Archaeal small subunit ribosomal RNA", at positions 1 to 921 of the family's 1478-position model. The record is from RNAcentral.